AAUAGAUACCCAGGUAGUCCACGCCGUAAACGAUGAGUGCUAAGUGUUGGAGGGUUUCCGCCCUUCAGUGCUGCAGCUAACGCAUUAAGCACUCCGCCUGGGGGAGUACGGUCGCAAGACUGAAACUCAAAGGAAUUGACGGGGGCCCGCACAAGCGGUGGAGCAUGUGGUUUAAUUCGAAGCAACGCGAAGAACCUUACCAGGUCUUGACAUCUCCUGACCGCCCUGGAGACAGGGUCUUCCCUUCGGGGACAGGAUGACAGGUGGUGCAUGGUUGUCGUCAGCUCGUGUCGUGAGAUGUUGGGUUAAGUCCCGCAACGAGCGCAACCCUUGGUUCUAGUUGCCAGCAUUCAGUUGGGCACUCUAGAGCGACUGCCGGCGACAAGUCGGAGGAAGGUGGGGAUGACGUCAAAUCAUCAUGCCCCUUAUGACCUGGGCUACACACGUGCUACAAUGGAUGGUACAAAGGGCAGCGAAGCGGCGACGCAUAAGCGAAUCCCAGAAAACCAUUCUCAGUUCGG
Molecule: ribosomal RNA, 521 nt
Filed under: uncultured bacterium
Lineage: Bacteria
Description: bacterial SSU rRNA
Rfam family: Bacterial small subunit ribosomal RNA
Source: RNAcentral